AUUGAACGCUGGCGGCAUGCCUAACACAUGCAAGUCGAACGGAAACGAUGCUAGCUUGCUAGCAGGCGUCGAGUGGCGGACGGGUGAGUAAUGUAUAGGGAUCUGCCUAGUAGUGGGGGACAACAUGUGGAAACGCAUGCUAAUACCGCAUACGCUCUACGGAGGAAAGUGGGGGACCUUUCGGGGCCUCAUGCUACUAGAUGAACCUAUAUUGGAUUAGCUUGUUGGUAAGGUAAUGGCUUACCAAGGCGACGAUCCAUAGCUGGUUUGAGAGAAUGAUCAGCCACACUGGGACUGAGACACGGCCCAGACUCCUACGGGAGGCAGCAGUGGGGAAUAUUGCACAAUGGACGAAAGUCUGAUGCAGCAAUGCCGCGUGUGUGAAGAAGGCCUUAGGGUUGUAAAGCACUUUCAGACGUGAGGAAAAGUAAUAAUUUAAUAAAUUAUUACCUUGACGUUAACGUCAGAAGAAGGACCGGCUAACUCCGUGCCAGCAGCCGCGGUAAUACGGAGGGUCCAAGCGUUAAUCGGAAUUACUGGGCGUAAAGCGCGCGUAGGCGGAUAUUUAAGUCAGAUGUGAAAUCCCUGGGCUCAACCUAGGAACUGCAUUUGAUACUGGAUAUCUAGAGUAUGGUAGAGGUGAGUGGAAUUUCAGGUGUAGCGGUGAAAUGCGUAGAGAUCUGAAGGAACAUCAGUGGCGAAGGCGACUCACUGGGCCAUUACUGACGCUGA
RNAcentral lists this ribosomal RNA (732 nucleotides) under bacterium IMCC4859. RNAcentral describes it as "bacterial SSU rRNA". It matches the Rfam family "Bacterial small subunit ribosomal RNA", at positions 28 to 749 of the family's 1533-position model. The record is from RNAcentral.